GAACCAAAAUAUGGAUUCAUGUGCAUAAAAUUCUAUGAUGAUCUCAGGUCUUAGGAUCACUUGCACAACUCCCACUUAGAGAACCAUCUUUGACAUGCAAGUAAGACUUCUAUAAGAUAUUCUCUAUUGUCGAGUCAAUUUAGUGGACUCAUAUCCAAAUGAGUAUCCACAUUCUUGUAUUAGUAUCCCACACAAGUGGCUA
RNAcentral lists this long non-coding RNA (202 nucleotides) under Elaeis guineensis (African oil palm). Its description in RNAcentral is "long non-coding RNA (EGUI_LNC060205)". The record is from RNAcentral. Lineage: Eukaryota; Viridiplantae; Streptophyta; Magnoliopsida; Arecales; Arecaceae.